UACAGGGGGGCAAGCGUUGUUCGGAAUUACUGGGCGUAAAGGGUCUGUAGGUGGCUUGCUAAGUCAGACGUGAAAUCCCUCAGCUUAACUGGGGAACUGCGUCUGAUACUGGCAAGCUUGAGUGCAGGAGAGGAACGCGGAAUUCCAGGUGUAGCGGUGGAAUGCGCAGAUAUCAGGAGGAACACCGGCGGCGAAGGCGGGC
This 202-nucleotide ribosomal RNA is filed under the name uncultured bacterium. Its description in RNAcentral is "partial 16S ribosomal RNA". It matches the Rfam family "Bacterial small subunit ribosomal RNA", at positions 524 to 725 of the family's 1533-position model. The record is from RNAcentral.